AAAUUGAAGAGUUUGAUCAUGGCUCAGAUUGAACGCUGGCGGCAGGCCUAACACAUGCAAGUCGAACGGUAACAGGAAGCAGCUUGCUGCUUUGCUGACGAGUGGCGGACGGGUGAGUAAUGUCUAGGAAACUGCCUGAUGGAGGGGGAUAACUACUGGAAACGGUGGCUAAUACCGCAUAACGUCGCAAGACCAAAGAGGGGGACCUUCGGGCCUCUUGCCAUCAGAUGUGCCCAGAUGGGAUUAGCUUGUUGGUGAGGUAACGGCUCACCAAGGCGACGAUCCCUAGCUGGUCUGAGAGGAUGACCAGCCACACUGGAACUGAGACACGGUCCAGACUCCUACGGGAGGCAGCAGUGGGGAAUAUUGCACAAUGGGCGCAAGCCUGAUGCAGCCAUGCCGCGUGUAUGAAGAAGGCCUUCGGGUUGUAAAGUACUUUCAGCGGGGAGGAAGGUGUUG
Molecule: ribosomal RNA, 459 nt
Filed under: Salmonella enterica subsp. enterica serovar Senftenberg
Lineage: Bacteria; Pseudomonadati; Pseudomonadota; Gammaproteobacteria; Enterobacterales; Enterobacteriaceae
Description: bacterial SSU rRNA
Rfam family: Bacterial small subunit ribosomal RNA
Source: RNAcentral